RNAcentral lists this long non-coding RNA (3848 nucleotides) under Canis lupus familiaris (dog). Its description in RNAcentral is "lncRNA (ENSCAFG00000053325.1)". The record is from RNAcentral. Lineage: Eukaryota; Metazoa; Chordata; Mammalia; Carnivora; Canidae.
AAGCUACACUUUUUUUUUUUUUUUUUGCAAAAAUCCCUAAUUUUGUAACCAUUGCAUCUUGACACUUAUUCACUCCUUCAUCCCCACUUGCUGGACAGUUGAACUGAUCUUGUGGAACUGUGGUGAAGACAAAUUAAUUCCGUUUCCCAUCCUGGAACCAUUGCCCAAACUAUCCAAGAGUCCAUUUCAGUAGACUUGGGUUUACUUCUCAAAACACUGGACUACUGGACUAUUAUUAAGUCUGCAAUAACUUAUUAAUACAAUCAAGUUCAGAAGUUUCAAUUGACUCAAACAGGGUUAUUGUUGUCACAGUGCUACCUCCAGUCAUUUGGAUCUAAUAUGCUUUCUUAAGGGGAAAGAAGAGAAAGGGUGUAUUUCAAUACUUUAUACUGAAGAUUGUCCAUAAGCUUAAUUACUUUAAAAAUAUUUUAUCUAUUUAUUGAUUGAUCAAUUGACAGAGAGAGAGAGAGCAUGCUUGCAUGCACAAGUUGGGGGAGGGGUAGAAGGAGAAGGACAGAGAAUCUCAAGUAGACUCCACACUGAUCAUCUCUCUCAACACCGAGACCAUGACCUGAGCCGAAAUCAAGAGUUGGACACUCAACUGACUCUCAGGUGCCACUCAUGUGCUCCAUGCCUCGUUACUUUAAGAUGAAGGUAUAUUAUAAACUCAUGAAACAAAAAGGGAUUUUCAGCACUUAUCAACUGUCAACUCCCUUUCACGGGACACUGUGUUAGGUGUGGGCUUCACUCUCCUAUUUACUUGAGCAACAGACUUAGUGGAAGUUGUCACCAGAAGGUAUGACAUGGAGGAGGUUCAGACAGAUACUUUUAAGGGAAGGUUAAAAGUAUAAUGUAAGCUUUUAAAUGUAAAGCUUGUUGUUACUCUUAUUUCUCACCCCUGUCCAGCUGUUUCUAAAACAAUGAAUGCAUAAAAAGAGGAAGAACAGGAAAUGUUUGUAAAAUUGGCCCUAAAUUAUCACUAAGACAUAUAGCCAACAGGUUAAUAAAUCUAUGCAGACUAACUAUGUAUAUGGUGUCUCCUUGUGACUCCAUGAUAAAAGGAAUCAAAUAUGAUAAUGCCUACAGAUACAUUUUAUAACAUGGGCAGUGAUUACAAACAUUACAAUGAGCGUCAUCUCUGAUGUGGAAGUAUUGCUGAAGGGUAAUUAAUAUCCUUUUCAGUAAAACCAGCCAGACUAUAAAUCAAACCUUAACCUAUACUAGUUUGAAAAUCUUGUAAGUUCCUUAAAAGCCAAGGCCAUGUUUUAUUAAUCUUGACACGCCCCACACUACCCAGAAAAGUAUUUAGGUUGGAGCAAAAUCUCUAUUAAAUAUGUUUAUUUAGUCAAAGACAGAAUUACAUGUAGCAAUAAACAGAUAUGCUCAAGCCUGAUUAACAAGAGGCAAGGUGAGCAAAAAGUGUUAAGAUCUGUGCUAAGAGAAGUGGGAUAGGGAAUGAGACUUCUGCUACAAAGCAUAGGGAUUAUAAUGCUGAAGAAUGAUAGAAAGAAACAGAACUAUUUAAAUUUGAUUUUUAAUGGCUUCUCUGUUAAAGAGAAUGAUGUUCUUGAGAAUGGAAGAGUAAAAUAAACAUCAGUCACAGGGAAGUAUAGCUAGCUCAAGAUGGGUGAAGAAAUUGGGGGAAAAAAAUUCAAUUGCUUUAAAUGAUGUUGAGUCUUCCUGCUGAGACAAAUUACAACCUUGGGGUACUGAUAAACCUCACAAUUGAAAUAAAUUAAUUACUUAGAGUGUUUUUAAAGAAAUAAUGGAGAAGUGCAAGGGUGAUGAAGACCAAAGAUAGGUAAAGUACUUAAUUUGCAGAAAAGAAAAGGUGCAUUAUGUGAGCUGAAGAAUUCUGAUGUUGAUUCUUAGAAAAUAAUGCAAUGCUUAUUAAGAGUUAUCAAAGAUUCACUAAGAGGAGACUAAUUGAGAGUUUUUGCAACUCUUCCCCACCCAUACACGCACACAAUUAUUAAGAUUUUAUACACAUGAGAAAUGUAAAAGGUAUGAUUUAUUUGCAUUUUAGUGAGGCGCUUCUCACCACCCUCAUGAUCUACUUACCAUUAAGAAUCAAGAUAUGAGGACUGGAUUGUAAUAUUAGCUGGAUUUGUAGCUGGUCAAUGACAACCAUAGGGUAUAUGUGAUGAAUGGAUCGUUUUUUGUUUUUGUUUUUUUUUUUGAAUGGAUCAGUCUUGUCUUAGAACUAUCUAGAAGCUUGUAAUUAGGCUCUUGUCUUAGAACUAUCUAGAAGCUUGUAAUUAGGCUCUGUUCUUGACCCUAACCCACUCCACAUUUAAAAAAAAUAAUUCCAUUAUGUGAAAAUGACAUUUGUAAAUAAGAUGAAGAUGGAAGGAGGAUUAAUACAUUAUCUUGGUGACAGAAUCAGAGAUUAAACUAACUUAAUACUCUGUAAGAAUGAGAUGAAGCUAAAUCAAUGAAAUAUAUUUUAGAUAUGAUGUUAGGUCUCAUUUGUGAUUACAAACAGAAUUACAUACACAAGCAUGAGGUAAGGAAGUGCAGGAAUAGUAGCUGGGGGAAAUGGGAUAGGUUUCUAAUUCCAGGAUACGAGUUGCCAAAAAUAUCUGAUGCAAACUUAGGCAGCAAUAAAUAUCUAGGAAUUAUCCAGAAAGUGGAUGAAGAUAAUUCCACUUUACUCCGUAUCACUUACAUCAUUCUUAGAGAAUUAAGAGAAUCCAGCACGAUCCUGGGUGCCACAGGGAUAUAAAUAAACUGGAACACAUUCUUAAGGGAGGAACUGGGAACCCCCUCUCCAGACACACAGAGGAAAACUGAGGCCAUGUGACCUGCAGAACAGAGCAGGACUGGUAUUAGCGCCCUGUGAGAAGCUGCGUAAAUUUAGAAAACAAUCUUUACAGUAUCGAGAGGUAGCUUUUCUCCUUUACAGUUUCUUUUUUGUGCUUCGAAAGUUAUUUUAUCCCAAUUAUCUCACUGUAGACAAUUGAGAAAAUAUGUAACAAGAUACAAAAGAGAGUGUUAUUACUGUAUUUGGUUUUAUUGCAUUUUUUUGCCAUAUCUAUUUCUAAUUGUACUGGGCAUAAAUUUGUAUACAAUUAUUUAGCAUUAUAUCAUAAAAGCCUUAUUGCAUAAAUGAAUAUUUACCUCCUCACCUGAGUAUAAAGAUUUUUAUGAGCAUGUGCAGAAAUGAAUGAGCUUUUAUCUUUUGCUUUCCCAAAGAAGCCAUCUACAAUGUAUUGGAAUCUAGGCACUGCCCUAGAUGUUGGAGACGCCACACACAUCAAGAGACAAAAUCCCAACUCUUCUUGAGUUUAUAUUUGUGUUUCUUCAGAGGGAGCAUAAAAUAGACACACAAGCAAAUAAAAGGAUCAUUUCUCAUAAUGUGUACCAUAAAGAAACUUGAUUUGACAAAUGUACCUCUAAAAAUGUAUGACAUUUGAACUGAGACCUGAAAGACAAAGAGAAAGCAAUGCAAACAUCUCACAGCAGACAGGCACAGCAGAUGGAGGGGUAGACCUGAAAGUCUGUAAGGGUGAGAAUAAACUUGGUGUGUUUAAGGAACAGAAAGAAGGGUAGCAAAGCUGGAGUUGGUUGAGUGGAGGAGGGUGGUAAACGAAGAGGUCAGAUUAAUAGUUAAGGUGAGGUCACGGCAAGGAUUUCAUUCUGCAUGCAGAGGGAAAACCUUUAGAAGUUUUUUGAGAUGGGAAUGACCUUAUCUGGUUUACUUUUAAAAAGGUAUCUUUCUGGCUAUUUACAGGGAGGAUGUAAUACAGUGGGGACAAAGGCAGAAUCAUAAAGACAACCCACUCCAGUGUUACAGUGAACACAAGUAUCAGAUAGAUGUUGGAGUUAAGAUCUGUUUUUAUCUGGUA